RNAcentral lists this ribosomal RNA (550 nucleotides) under Hesperomyces sp. RNAcentral describes it as "SSU rRNA". It matches the Rfam family "Eukaryotic small subunit ribosomal RNA", at positions 349 to 903 of the family's 1831-position model. Lineage: Eukaryota; Fungi; Ascomycota; Laboulbeniomycetes; Laboulbeniales; Laboulbeniaceae. The record is from RNAcentral.
CUUUUGACGGGUAACGGGGAAUUAGGGUUCGACUCCGGAGAGGGAGCCUGAGAAACGGCUACCACAUCCAAGGAAGGCAGCAGGCGCGCAAAUUACCCAAUCCCGAUACGGGGAGGUAGUGACAAGAAAUACCGAUUCAGGAUCUUAUUGGAUCUUGAGAUUGGAAUGAGUACAAUUCAAACCCAUUAACGAGGAACAACUAGAGGGCAAGUCUGGUGCCAGCAGCCGCGGUAAUUCCAGCUCUAGUAGCGUAUAUUAAAAUUGUUGCAGUUAAAACGCUCGUAGUUGAACUUUGGGCUUGGCUGGCUGGUCCGCCUCACCGCGUGCACUGGUCCGGCUGGGCCUUUCCUCUUGGGGAUCCACAUGCCCUUCACUUGGGUGUGUUGGGGAACCAGGACUUUUACUUUGAAAAAAUUAGGGUGUUCAAAGCAGGCAUUUGCUCGAAUACAUUAGCAUGGGAUAAUAGAAUAGGACGUGUGGUCUUAUUUUGUUGGUUUCUAGGACCGCCGUAAUGAUUGAUAGGGAUAGUUGGGGGCAUCGGUAUUCAAUU